UGGGGUUGUAGCUCAGUGGUAGAGCACUCACCUAGCACAUGAGAGGCACUGGGUUCAAUUCUCAGCACCGUAA
Molecule: transfer RNA, 73 nt
Filed under: Marmota monax (woodchuck)
Lineage: Eukaryota; Metazoa; Chordata; Mammalia; Rodentia; Sciuridae
Description: tRNA.Ala
Rfam family: tRNA
About the family: Transfer RNA (tRNA) molecules are approximately 80 nucleotides in length.
Source: RNAcentral